GCCUAUUCGGGGUGGAUUAGUGGCGAACGGGUGAGUAACACGUGGGCAAUCUGCCCUUCACUCUGGGACAAGCCCUGGAAACGGGGUCUAAUACCGGAUAACACUCUGUCCCGCAUGGGACGGGGUUAAAAGCUCCGGCGGUGAAGGAUGAGCCCGCGGCCUAUCAGCUUGUUGGUGGGGUAAUGGCCUACCAAGGCGACGACGGGUAGCCGGCCUGAGAGGGCGACCGGCCACACUGGGACUGAGACACGGCCCAGACUCCUACGGGAGGCAGCAGUGGGGAAUAUUGCACAAUGGGCGAAAGCCUGAUGCAGCGACGCCGCGUGAGGGAUGACGGCCUUCGGGUUGUAAACCUCUUUCAGCAGGGAAGAAGCGAAAGUGACGGUACCUGCAGAAGAAGCGCCGGCUAACUACGUGCCAGCAGCCGCGGUAAUACGUAGGGCGCAAGCGUUGUCCGGAAUUAUUGGGCGUAAAGAGCUCGUAGGCGGCUUGUCACGUCGGAUGUGAAAGCCCGGGGCUUAACCCCGGGUCUGCAUUCGAUACGGGCUAGCUAGAGUGUGGUAGGGGAGAUCGGAAUUCCUGGUGUAGCGGUGA
This 594-nucleotide ribosomal RNA is filed under the name Streptomyces cyaneofuscatus. RNAcentral describes it as "bacterial SSU rRNA". It matches the Rfam family "Bacterial small subunit ribosomal RNA", at positions 75 to 684 of the family's 1533-position model. The record is from RNAcentral. Lineage: Bacteria; Bacillati; Actinomycetota; Actinomycetes; Kitasatosporales; Streptomycetaceae.